RNAcentral lists this ribosomal RNA (901 nucleotides) under uncultured bacterium. Its description in RNAcentral is "bacterial SSU rRNA". It matches the Rfam family "Bacterial small subunit ribosomal RNA", at positions 56 to 958 of the family's 1533-position model. The record is from RNAcentral.
UGCACGUCGAACGAGAUACUCUUCGGAGUAGUAAAGUGGCGCACGGGUGAGUAAGACAUGGGUAACCUGCCUUUGAGUGGGGAAUAACCAACCGAAAGGUUGGCUAAUGCCGCAUACGGUUCCUUAGCUUCGGGUAAGGAAUAAAAGCUACAUCGUGGAUAUAGCGCUUAGAGAGGGGCUCAUGGCCUAUCAGCUUGUUGGUAGGGUAAUGGCCUACCAAGGCAACGACGGGUAGCUGGUCUGAGAGGACGAUCAGCCACACUGGCACUGAGAUACGGGCCAGACUCCUACGGGAGGCAGCAGUGAGGAAUAUUGCGCAGUGGGCGAAAGCCUGACGCAGCGACGCCGCGUGGGGGAAGAAGGUUUUCGGAUUGUAAACCCCUUUUAGGAGGAAAGAUGAGAUGUGUAAGCAUCUUGACGGUACCUCCAAAAAAAGCCACGGCUAACUUCGUGCCAGCAGCCGCGGUAAUACGAAGGUGGCGAGCGUUGUUCGGAUUUACUGGGCGUAAAGAGCACGUAGGCGGUUUGAUAAGACCUUUGUGAAAGCUCCGGGCUUAACCCGGAAAGGUCAGGGGUGACUGUCAAGCUAGAGGGCGGGAGAGGAGUGUGGAAUUCCCGGUGUAGCGGUGAAAUGCGUAUAUAUCGGGAAGAAGGCCUGUGGCGAAGGCGGCACUCUGGAACGUCUCUGACGCUAAGGUGCGAAGGCGUGGGGAGCAAACAGGAUUAGAUACCCUGGUAGUCCACGCUGUAAACGAUGGGCACUAAGUGUCGGCAGAUUACUGUCGGUACCGCAGCUAACGCAGUAAGUGCCCCGCCUGGGGAGUACGUCCGCAAGGUUGAAACUCAAAGGAAUUGACGGGGGCCCGCACAAGCGGUGGAGCAUGUGGUUUAAUUCGACGCA